This 6880-nucleotide unclassified non-coding RNA is filed under the name Leishmania donovani. Its description in RNAcentral is "gene:LdHU3.23.2280(CDS-product:Inositol_hexakisph osphate_putative)". Lineage: Eukaryota; Euglenozoa; Kinetoplastea; Trypanosomatida; Trypanosomatidae. The record is from RNAcentral.
UAACACGUGGCUGCGGCAGACAGGCAUACACCAACUCCCCACCACAUCUGCUCCUCCCACGUACAAACGUGCACCCCACCGAGAGACCGAGACACGCACACACAGGCGUGCCGCCCCUUCCCUCGUGCGCCUUUCUGUCUUGAUCCCUCCCCUCGUUUUCGCCCUCGCUCAGCCCUUCCGUGGAACACCUCACUCACACACCCUCCUGCAGGCGUGCCACGGUGUUGCGGAGUUUGUGAGCGAGUAAGGAAGAGGCGUGAGAGACUUGCCUGUGGAAGGACAACGACGCUUUUGUACGCUUUCUUUCUCCGUCUUGUGUAGUCUCGCCUCUGCAGAAGACUCCUUAUUCCUUGCGCUGUCUGUGCCCACGCCUCCGUGUUUUCCUCUCACCCAUCCCCUGCCCUGCGACUGCAGGGCAGCCACCUCCUCUCCCCUUCUCUCGGUGCUCGUCCUUGACGGAUCGCCUUCGCGCGCGCCGGAUCGAUUAAGUGGGCUCCUCGAGGCUCACAGGUGCAGCACCAUGGACAUCGCCGCUGCAGCUGCUGCCUCACAGGAGGGCGCCCGUGUGGCCGACACCGCCGCCAUUGCGAAGGGCCGCCUUCCACCUGUCGUGCCGCAGCCCUGUAGGAGUGAACGGCUCGGCCCAGAGCCGAUGACGCUGUCGCCGCCGGCCGCUCGUGACGGCAACACAUGCAGGACUGAUUCUCUCGCAACCCUUCGCUGCGGAGCUGGCCAGGGUGUCAUCGGAAAUUCAGGAAGCGCACCAGCCUCUAUCGGCAGAGGUUCGCCAUCCACAGGCCCUGCCACGCUGGCUUCCGCGCCAAAUCCCCGUCGUGGCUUCUGCAUCCCCUCGCUGCGCUCGCCUGGAAACUCAUCUGCGUUGCCGCCUCUUUCCGCUGCUGCACAGCACAGCGGCGGGCCUACGCAGUCAACACGCCGCCUCCGAAGCCAAGAGAUGGCGAUAGCUGAAGAGCAAGAGCUGCGCGACUUGAGGCUACUGCUGAACUCUCAGUCGUCGCGUCUGCGCCGGCACACCUCUCCAACGAUGCUGACUCCCGAAGAGAUGCACGCGCCGGUGAAGAGUCCUCCCCCCCUCCUCUCCGGCCCGUCCACGCGACCCGCAGCAGAGACAGCUGCUGCUGCGGUGAUGCUAGUCAGCAGCCAACCCAAGGCUCACACUGCUACCGAUGCCAACAAGAUUGCGGCACCUCAAGAAGGUCGCACCAAAUGCGAGCCGGCUGAUCGCUCGACGGCGGCCGCGGUAACGCAUACCGAGUCCAUCUCAGCGCGGAGUACGGACCCUUCGAUGCGGACAGUGCGCAACGGCGCCCUCUACGCACGCAGGCCCAACGGCAGCUCCUUCAAAGACGACUUUUUCGGGCAGUUUCACAUCAACGCCGACUCCGCGGCGCAGCCGCAGCUCGACGACAGCGAGGAAGCGCUGCUCACUGCACUGGAGAAGGAGACGGCAGUGCGCGAAGCCCGGCUGGAGCGCCGCAGCAGGGAUAUUCGCAAGAAGUUGGCGGAACCGUCGCGGGACCGGGCCGGCCACAUCUAUCCGCCGCCGCCCCCGGUGACGCAGGCCACCUCUGAAACAGAGAUUCACGAGCGUGCGAUGGCAGCUGAAGAGUUUGCAAAGACCCUAAUGCAGCGUCGCCGGCACGGCGAGGAGCGUGAUCGACGCCAGCAGCAGAGGGAGCGGCAUCGCACUUCGCGCUCUCCUCCGGUGCGCCUAGGGACGGCCUCUGAAAACAACACCGCCUUCUCCAACACGACCUUCUUGAACACGCAAUGCAGGGACGGUGUGGACGUCAACGACACGGAGGCGAUCGAGAGCCAUACCAUGUUGCACGUCAGCAGCAGCGGCCGGCCUCUCACGCGGGGCUCCUGGGCCUCGCAGGAGCCCCACGAGGCGAACGAGAUGUCCAUGGCGAGCCUGGCGCUGGGCCGCAUGUCCCUGCGCUCGUGCAGCGUGAACAAGGUGACGGACAGCACGCUGGCGAUUAUGGAGAUGCUCGCAAACAGGCCAGAUGUCCUGCUUCCGUCCCCGGCUGAGACGGCUGUUGUGCGUCGCGGUGACGUGCUGUCCUCAAAGCACAUCCUCAAGCGCGACUUGGAGGAGGCGCUGCGGUCGCGGCAGGGCUCGACCGGCAUGAUCGCUGGAGCGCCGUUCUUUCGCAUCGUACCGAAGCUGAACAUCGCCGGUGUCGCCCAGGCAAACGCCAGUGCGGUGCGCACGAUCGUGAAUGAGCUGCGCCGCGCGCACGUUGAGGGCCCCAUCGUCUGGGUGAACCUGCGCGAGGAGCCGCUUGUGUACAUCAACGACACCUCCUACAUCGUCCGCGAGCGCGCCGAUCCGCUGACGCCCAUUAUCAUCCCCAACGUGACGGGGCUAAGCAUCGAGUGCAUCGAGCGCAAACUCAAGCAGGAGGUGCUGCAGGAGGCGUACGAGAAUGGUGGCAACGUCAGCGUGCACCUUGAGUGCCGUGGCGGCAACAUGGAGGACCAGUGGGUGUGCGCCAGCCGCAGCGAGGUGCUGACGCUGGCUGAGGUUUUCCAUCGCGUGGAGAAGGAGACGGACCACCAAGUCAUGUACUUCCGCCGGCCCAUCACGCAGAAUAUUGGGCCGCAGCCCGAAGAUUUCGACUUCGUGCUGGAUGCGUGCCUCGAGGAGCCGAAGGCGGUGUUCGUCUUCAGUUGCCAGUCCGGUCGCGGCCGCACGAGCUCGAUGAUGCAGAUAGCCAACAUCGUCCGCUUCUACCAACUUUGCGUGAAGGAUGUGACGGCCGAUAUGCGUGUGCUGCGCGAGAAGGUGAACGGGCCGUCGUACCGCACCAUUCAGAAGCUGGUGUCGCUCUUUCCUGACGGCAAACUGCACGAGCGUCGCCUCAUGAUCCUGAUGGAGCUUGCCGACAAGGUGUACUCCAUGGCGGACCACAUCAACGAGGCGUUUUCCGGUAUGAACGAAGCCCCGGAGGUGGCGAAGAUGCGGCUGCAGGUGUACGCGCUCUUUCUGGUCUUCUCCUACUACUGCGAGCAGAGACUGUGGAACUACUCGACGCGCUUGUCAUUUACGCAGUGGCUGAACGAGAACUCCGAGAUGAGGCUUCUCAUCGGCAGCGUGCGCGAGAAGCUUGAUGACCAGCUCAAGUUGGAGCGGGUGUUCUCCCUGUCCUCGGGAGGCCCCGAGGCCGACGCGCUGCGCGCCAUCCGCCACCGUCGCGGUAACGUGCUGAGCACCGGCCGCAUCCUGCUCAGCCUCCCAAUGAGCAACUAUUCACGCCAGGAGAUUAUAGCGUUGCGCCAGCUCGCGCCAGGGGUGCCGGUGCUGACAUGCGGCCGUGUCGGUGAGGUGGCGCGCGACCAGCUCGUGUGCGACAUCCGUGACACGUUCCCGCACGUGCGCUCCAUCCAUUGGAUCAGCCUGCGCGCCGAGCCGAUGGUGCUGAUUAAUGAGGUGCCCUACACGCUCUCCGACUACGAUGCCGCGCACGGCUCGGCCGAGCAUGGCACGACGAUGCACGUAUCUGUGCAGGCGAUGGAGCAGAUCGAGGAUCGUCUGCGGCGUGAUGUGCUGCUGGAGGCGCAGGACAACGGCGGCUUCAUCAUCCUGCACCGUUUGACGACGGCGGGUGAGCGGGAGGUGCUGCGCGUCAAGGUCGUCUCGGCGCGCACCCCACGCAGCACGAUGGAGGAGUUCGUGGAGGCAACCGGCGUAUGCUACUCCCGCAUUCCGAUGCCGUUCUCCGGGGAGCUGCUGGCGAGUGACAUCGACCCCCUCCUCAACUACCUGGCCAAGGCGGACAUCAACCAGCACGACGCCAUCGUCAUCAACGAUUCAGCCGGCACAACGCGCACUACCGUGGCACUGAACAUCCUGACGCUGUUCCGCGCCAGUCGACUUGAAAAUCUUCGCUCGCUGCAGACGACCGAGGAGGUGGCGACGCUGCUGCGCAUCGGGGCCACGGAUCGGCUCGUCGACAACGCUCAGGUAGCCGCCAGGGCAGAAGUGCCUUCGGAAGAGAUUCCCGAGCACCAUGUGGAGCUGCUCCUCGCCUCGACCAUCUGCCAGAUGCUGACAGCCGGUAGGCUCCUUCGCACGGUGGACGCCGUCAUCGCCCUCGGUGGCCGCGGCCGGCGCUGGAAUAUCUUGCACGCGUUGGACUUUCUCAAGAAGCGCAUUGGGGUGCUCGGCAGCAACAAGCCCCAGCGCAUCGUGGAUGCCCUGCAUGGCCUGCGUUGUUACCUGCUCGUGCUGCUCUCAUGCCUGUACCUGGAUGCGCAGAAGGGGGAGGGCUUCACCAUCGGGGAGCUGCUCUUCAGCGACUGGGUCACCGCCCACGCGGAGGUAUCGAACAUCGUCGAGCACCUCGAGGAUCGCGGCGAGGCGGCGCUCGAGUACGUGGCGGCCGACAACCUCAUGAAGGCCGACCUUUCGCGGCGCUCCGGCAACGUGCUGACGGCCAACUUCUGUCUAAAGGCCGACCACUUUCCCGGCUGCCAGAAGAAGGGGCUGCGGCCGGCGCUGUGCGGCGCACCAAACUUCCGAAAGGUGGAUUUUGUGAACGUCUACGGUGUCGCCAUCCCGACUAUCAAGGGCAUCCACAACGUGCUCUCGCUGCUGGGCGCCUCCAGCGAGCCUCUGCAGGUAUACCCAGGGCAGAGCAACGACUCCGAGCCAUACCUCGGCUUUGCGGCGCAGCGGCUCUUCGAGCCAGCCUUCAAGCCCGAGGAGCUGCAGCACCCACUGCGCGGCUCUGUGGUGUGGGUGAACUUGCGGGAGGAGCCCAUCCUGUACGUGGGAGACCGGCCCUUCGUCUUCCGCGACUUGGCGGCCCCGUACGUGAAUGUGGUGCUGACCGGCAUCCAGACCGAAAAGGUCGAGUUGGUGGAGUACGAGCUGAAGCGUGACGUGCUCAUGGAGGCGGCACAGUACGACGGCAAGUUCCUCGUCCACGAUGAAGGUAACCCGGGCGAGCUCGUCGGCGUGUGGGAGUCGGCGGACGAGGAGACUGUAAAGACUCUGCGCGAGGUCUACGAUGAGCUGGUGGUGAAGCAGUUCCGCUGCCAAAUGCUGCGACUCCCGGUGACGGACGAGCAGAGCCCGGAGAUUCGCGACUUCGACCUUCUCGUCAAUGCCCUCCUCCCGCGCAUUGCGAAGCACCUUGACCGUCGCGAGACGCUGUCGUUCGUUUUCAACUGCCAGAUGGGCCGCGGCCGCACCACGACGGGCAUGGUGAUCUGCUGUCUCCUCAUUGGCCUCGUAAUACCGGAGUACUACGACGAGCUGCACAACGCUUACCGCGACUCCCUCUACGCAGACACAGAGUCGGACCUCGGCCGCGGAGAGUACUCCGUCAUUGUGCAGCUGAAGCGCGUACUGGCGCAGGGCCGCACCGCCAAGUACCAGGUCGAUCUCGUGCUCGAGGCGUGCUCGAAGAUGCAGAACUUGCGCACAGCCAUUGAAGCCUUUGCUAUUGCGGUGUCGUCCCCGGACACGAUUGAGUCGGGUCGUGCUCGCGCGCACCACGCUGGUGUGCAUUACCUGAAGCGCUACUUCAACCUCAUCGUCUUUGCCGUGUACCUGCAGGAGGAGUAUGACCGCAUAUCGAAGCUUAUGCGGCGCUCCUUCACCGACUGGAUGACGACCCACCCGGAGAUUUUCACGCUGCUAGAUUCGUGCGUUCUCAAGUGACAUCGAGGGCGCCUGUGCCGUGCUGCGUGUCUCAGUCGCACGGGCAAUGCUCACUGUGGUGACAGCUGCUGCUGUGCUGGUGAACGCGCUCGCUACGUGUGCUCAUUAGAGGCGGUGAUUUGCCUGUGCCUUUAUGCAUCCUUGAUUCAUCUGUUUUGUUUUCUGAUGUAAGCCAGCGACUGCGCAACGGAAAGCGUUGGCAGUCUUCAACCCCCACCCCUCUUAUACGACUUCGCAUCCGCUGUACAUUCUCUCUCUCUCGCUGUAUGUGUGUGUGUGUGUGCUGUUGCCUGUGCAUGCGCGUACCUUCAUUCCUUUUUCCCGGUAGACGCCGCGUGUGUUCGCGGCGCUGCCUCGCCCUUUCACUCGCUCGCUUGCUUUCUCUUAAGCACCGUGGUGCAUCUCUCUGUUGAUGCCUCGCGCUCGCUAUCCCUCCAUAUUGCAACAUGCUUGACAUAUCUCUAUGACGAGGCCGCUGCUGUGUCGUGGCGCGAUCGAGGCGGAGGAAAGCCGUAAAGGCUGACGGCACGCCGUAGAAGGCGAUGCGUGAGGUGCGGCUCAUGAAAUCGAUCCGUGUGGGAGAGAAAGGAGAGAGGGGCGAUCGACUAAGGUAAGGGCGGUGAGUUGGGGCAUUGCGCAUCUGCAUGCUCCUCCUGACAUCCAUCAUUACACCGUUCAGGCUCCACAGUUCGGUCUCUCGUCUCUCACACUCCGACCUCCCGCAUCAAUGAGUAGGCCAGCUGCCUCGCGGUGUUGCCUUUCCUCCUGCCAUUUGCGGACGCCCCUCUCCCCCUCUCUCCUCGUAUCGGCACUUCUGCGUGUAUGUGACUCUCCGCGUUGCCCUGUCAAGCGUCACAACCGCGCUGGCUAGCGAUGCUGCGGUGGUGGUGGUGGUAAGCUCUUCAGGCGCAAAGGGUGUGGGGGACCGUUGGUAGUGGCGCGUGUGCUGGGUUUGGGGGGGGGUCUGGGGGAGAGUGAGCGGGGAGAGCUGAGGGGCGCAGGAGCGUGCACCUAUGCUUGCGCGUCUUCAGGCCAUUCAAGUACGGCCUAGAUAUCUACACACACAUAUGCCCACCCACCAUUUGCCCACGGUGAAGCUGCCUCUUCUCCUUGCACCACCCCCCUCUAUCUCGCUGCCUGACUCGGGGGUUAGAGCUUAUCUUCUCGUCGCCAUUCUUUGUCAUG